Molecule: unclassified non-coding RNA, 884 nt
Filed under: Hevea brasiliensis (rubber tree)
Lineage: Eukaryota; Viridiplantae; Streptophyta; Magnoliopsida; Malpighiales; Euphorbiaceae
Source: RNAcentral
CUGCUAUAACAAAAAACAAAUACUAACACGGUUCGUAUCGUAUACAUAUAAUCACCCCAUACUGAAAGUAUUCAUCUAUUGAGAAAAAACAGAACUUGGUAUAGUCUCAGGAUUCUCCAAGCCACAUACAUAUCAGUACAAUACUUAUAUGAACCAAUAAUUUCAAACAAAAUCAAAAUUUGAUAAUUAAAACAUCCUAUAAAUCAAAAUUAAAGCAUCUCGGCCCGAGCAGUAACAGCUCUGAGCUUGGAGUAAACCUUACCAGCAGGAGACCCCAUAAUGAGACUACAAAGUGAAUCUCUAGCAAUCUUAAUGUUCAAAAACGAUCCCAAUAUAUGUAUUUUGCUAUCUGCAAUUACUAUCCUAGUCUUCGUCGCAUUCUCUAUAGCAAAUUUCGUCUUUCCUCCUUUCCCAGACAAUCUACCAAUAGCCCUAGACAAAUGCUCACCUCUUAGUGUCUUCACAUCCUUGAUCUCGAAGGAAUCCACAUAUAACUCAUCCAAACGGAGCAAAGCAACAGCAUCACAGACAUCAAACCCUAGCAUGAAAGCAUGAACAAAAUCAGCGCACUUUUGUAGGUUGCUGAUGUCGGGAGUAUCGGUUCGGGUUUUCAGCUCAACCCGACGCUUCUUGAGAUUCAUUCGGAUGUCAAUCUUCAUCUGCUCGAAGAUUGGAUUGUAGAUUUCCAUCCAUACUUUCUUCAGUGGAGUGUACCGAUGCUGUGGGACUGUAACUUUGCGAAACUGGACAUGGCCGUCUGAGAUUUCGUGGGCCUUUAGAGGUUGAAAGUUGGGUUUCGCCGGUAAGGUUGCCGGCGGUUGCUCAGCCCUCAGAUUGUCAAUAUCCAUGGCUACAGAACCAGGGAAGAGAAGGAGGGGCUGGAG